This 274-nucleotide ribosomal RNA is filed under the name uncultured bacterium. Its description in RNAcentral is "partial 16S ribosomal RNA". It matches the Rfam family "Bacterial small subunit ribosomal RNA", at positions 523 to 796 of the family's 1533-position model. The record is from RNAcentral.
AUACGGAGGAUCCAAGCGUUAUGCGGAAUCAUUGGGUUUAAAGGGUCCGUAGGCGGGUUUGUAAGUCAGUGGUGAAAGUUUUCGGCUCAACCGGAAAAUUGCCAUUGAUACUGCAAGUCUUGAAUUACUGUGAAGUGAUUAGAAUGUGUAGUGUAGCGGUGAAAUGCAUAGAUAUUACACAGAAUACCGAUUGCGAAGGCAGAUCACUAACAAUAUAUUGACGCUAAGGGACGAAAGCGUGGGUAGCGAACAGGAUUAGAAACCCCAGUAGUCC